This 496-nucleotide ribosomal RNA is filed under the name uncultured bacterium. RNAcentral describes it as "partial 16S ribosomal RNA". It matches the Rfam family "Bacterial small subunit ribosomal RNA", at positions 28 to 506 of the family's 1533-position model. The record is from RNAcentral.
GAUGAACGCUGGCGGCGUGCCUAAUACAUGCAAGUCGAGCGAACGGACGAGAAGCUUGCUUCUCUGAUGUUAGCGGCGGACGGGUGAGUAACACGUGGAUAACCUACCUAUAAGACUGGGAUAACUUCGGGAAACCGGAGCUAAUACCGGAUAAUAUUUUGAACCGCAUGGUUCAAAAGUGAAAGACGGUCUUGCUGUCACUUAUAGAUGGAUCCGCGCUGCAUUAGCUAGUUGGUAAGGUAACGGCUUACCAAGGCAACGAUGCAUAGCCGACCUGAGAGGGUGAUCGGCCACACUGGAACUGAGACACGGUCCAGACUCCUACGGGAGGCAGCAGUAGGGAAUCUUCCGCAAUGGGCGAAAGCCUGACGGAGCAACGCCGCGUGAGUGAUGAAGGUCUUCGGAUCGUAAAACGCUGUUAUUAGGGAAGAACAUAUGUGUAAGCAACUGUGCACAUCUGGACGGUACCUAAUCAGAAAGCCACGGCGAACUACGU